UUUCGCACCGAAACUAUGGCAACAAAUCCACUUGGUUUGGAUACUUCACUUCAUUUAGAAAUUGCCAAAUCGGCGCCCCAUACCAAAAUUUCCAGCCAUUUUUCAAGUGCUUUAUUGCAUCAUCAGGAGCCGAACAUAUAGAUUACAAUGAUGUGUUUGGACUUUGGACCACUGCAGCACGUACGGUGAUUGUCGAAGUAGUGUACAUUCGUGUUGUUGAGUUGUUGCUGCACAUGCUCUUUCCUCUAGCUACUCUCCUCCCUUAGCAAGAACACAUACGUCUGACAUAAAUCCUUUAAUCUAACUAUCUCAGCUUUUGAUAUGGCUACGCUAUCAACAAAAUUAGAAACACGUCAAUUUCUUUGUGCUCAGCUGGUUGUUAACCAUGCGGCCCCACCUCUCAGUGACUGCCCGGUCCAUAGCAGAGCGAGGCCAAAGCGUGCACGUCAGUCCCCCACAGUGAGUCCUCCGAGUCAGCUACCCACCCCACCCCCAACUCGAUUCGUGACGAGAUCUCUCUCCUCCAAAUUCCUCGCUCGAUUCGUCGCGGUCGAAAAAAACCCACAGCCCCCUCCCCACCGCCGACCCCCUCGCCUCCUGUCGGAAUCGGAAUCCAUCCCGAUGGCGCAAGGCACCGCGCCCUCCGCAGCUGGGGCCGCCGGCGGCGGCGGCGGCUGCCCCUCGGCGCCCGCCGUCUCCACGACCCCUCCGGGCACGCCCCGGGCCUCCGCGGCAGCAGCCGCGCCGCAGCCUCCGCCGCCCUCCUCCUUCGCGACCGGAUUCUACUACGCCGUCGAGCUCUACUUCGACCCGGCGCUGGAGAACCAGGUGCUCAAGGCGUGGAACGCGCUGGCGCGGCGGCAGCUCGGCAGCCGCCUCAUCGACGCCGCCGCCCGCCCGCACCUCCCGCUGCUCCACCUCCCCGCCGCCGCGCUCCCGCCGCCUGGCACCGGCGCCGCGGGCGGGGACCCGCUCCUCCGCCUCGCGCCCUCGCUCCGCGCGCUCGCGUCGCGACUCGACCCGCUCCCGCUCGCGCUCUCCUCGCUCGCCGCGCUCCCGGCCUCCGCAUCCUCGUCCUCGCACGACAACGUCCUCUUCCUCGCGCCCACUCCGUCCGCUGCCCUGCUCGGACUCCAUGCGCAGCUCUGCGAGCUGCUACGGAAGGACGCUGGCGUCGAGGUCCCCGACGCCUUCCGGCCCGACCACUGGCUACCGCGGUGCGCCGUCGCCGUUGACGUGCCCCGUGGCCGCAUGGCCGAGGCCUUCUGCGUGCUCCGAGAGCUCAAGCUGCUACCCGUCUCUGGGUACGGGAUGGACAUCGCGCUCGUCGAGGUCGGGGCCACCGUUAGGGAGCUCGUGUCCUACCCGCUUGGUGGCAGCGGCAGCGCUGGAGCCGACUGAGAGGGAAAUUGAGCUGGUCACUGCUCUCUGAAACCGUGAUCGACAUUCUGCCAGGACACUUCCAAGCAAUAUUCUAUCAUGCAGUUCUAUCGAAGUGAUCCUCCGGGUUAAUCUAAUGGAUGGCUAUCUUUCAGGUCCUGUUGUAUUUUGUACCAUAUCUAGAUCAUGGAUGGACAAUCAUACUUAACAAGGACAUCAUAGUCGCACAAUUUGCCUUCUUCCGAGGAGCUACAUUUGGAAGAAGGCUGGACCAUGCUGUAUCCUAACACAUACAGUAUUUUGUUUAGUCAUUUCUUUAAUCUUUUGGUUGAUAUUGUAUUUGAUGUCCUCCCCCUCCAUUGUAGACUCUUCACAUAGUAUCACUUGUCCUCGAGUUUACUGUAAUGAGAAUUAUCAGUUGUGUUCUUGUGCCCUGAAAACCAGUUGUGCUGUCUUCAUUCGCUCAACUGAUUUGUUCACAUGACUCA
Sorghum bicolor (sorghum) is the source of this 1868-nucleotide RNA transcript. RefSeq lists it as uncharacterized. The transcript is spliced from 3 exons. The record is from RefSeq and is a predicted model, not a curated record. Lineage: Eukaryota; Viridiplantae; Streptophyta; Magnoliopsida; Poales; Poaceae.